GAUGUAGCCCAGUGGUAGAGCAUUUGCCUAGCAUGCACAAAGCCCUGGGUUCAAUCCCCCAAAUCA
Molecule: transfer RNA, 66 nt
Filed under: Marmota monax (woodchuck)
Lineage: Eukaryota; Metazoa; Chordata; Mammalia; Rodentia; Sciuridae
Description: tRNA.Ala
Source: RNAcentral